Molecule: ribosomal RNA, 485 nt
Filed under: uncultured bacterium
Lineage: Bacteria
Description: SSU rRNA
Rfam family: Bacterial small subunit ribosomal RNA
Source: RNAcentral
AGGACGAACGCUGGCGGCGUGCUUCACACAUGCAAGUCGAACGGGGCUCAUUCGGUGGUAACACCGGAGAAGGCCUAGUGGCGAACGGGUGCGUAACACGUGAAGAACCUGCCCCGAAGACUGGGAUAACAGCGGGAAACCGCUGCUAAUACCGGAUGACCCCACCAGGCCGCAUGGCCAGGUGAGGAAAUGGGCCUACCGCUUCGGGAGGGCUUCGCGGCCUAUCAGCUUGUUGGUGGGGUAACGGCCUACCAAGGCUACGACGGGUAGCUGGUCUGAGAGGACGACCAGCCACACUGGGACUGAGACACGGCCCAGGCUCCUACGGGAGGCAGCAGUGGGGAAUCUUGCGCAAUGGGCGAAAGCCUGACGCAGCAACGCCGCGUGAGGGAUGAAGGUCUUCGGGUUGUAAACCUCUUUCGAGCAGGGACGAUUGUGACGGCACCUGCAGAAGAAGCUCCGGCCAACUACGUGCCAGCAGCCGC